RNAcentral lists this transfer RNA (93 nucleotides) under Ignavibacteria bacterium. RNAcentral describes it as "tRNA-Ser". It matches the Rfam family "tRNA". From Rfam's summary of the family: Transfer RNA (tRNA) molecules are approximately 80 nucleotides in length. Their secondary structure includes four short double-helical elements and three loops (D, anti-codon, and T loops). Further hydrogen bonds mediate the characteristic L-shaped molecular structure. tRNAs have two regions of fundamental functional importance: the anti-codon, which is responsible for specific mRNA codon recognition, and the 3' end, to which the tRNAs corresponding amino acid is attached (by aminoacyl-tRNA synthetases). tRNAs cope with the degeneracy of the genetic code in two manners: having more than one tRNA (with a specific anti-codon) for a particular amino acid; and 'wobble' base-pairing, i.e. permitting non-standard base-pairing at the 3rd anti-codon position. Lineage: Bacteria; Pseudomonadati; Ignavibacteriota; Ignavibacteria. The record is from RNAcentral. RNAcentral also lists the same sequence under 1 other name.
GGAAAGGUGCAGGAGUGGCUGAACUGGCACGACUGGAAAUCGUGUGUACGGCCAAAAGCCGUACCGAGGGUUCGAAUCCCUCCCUUUCCGCUA